RNAcentral lists this ribosomal RNA (431 nucleotides) under uncultured actinomycete. RNAcentral's name for it is "bacterial SSU rRNA". It matches the Rfam family "Bacterial small subunit ribosomal RNA", at positions 930 to 1497 of the family's 1533-position model. Lineage: Bacteria; Bacillati; Actinomycetota; Actinomycetes; Actinomycetales. The record is from RNAcentral.
CAGCGGAGCAUGUGGUUUAAUUCGACGCAACGCGAAGAACCUUACCUGGGCUUGACAUGUCAGUGACCGCCGUGGAAACAGCUUCCACUUACAGGUGUGACGAGCGCAACCCCCGUCCUAUGUUGCCAUCGGGAUGUCAAGUAUCAUGCCCCUUAUGUCCAGGCUACAUACAUGGCGCAUACAAGGGCAGCAAUACCGCGAGGUGGAGCAUCCCAGAAAGUGCGUCUCGGUUCGGAUUGGAGUGAAACUCGCCUCCAUGAAGGUGGAGUUGCUAGUAAUCGAGAUCAGCAAUGCUGCGGUGAAUACGUUCCCGGGCCUUGUACACACCGCCGUCACACCACGAAAGCGAGUAACACCCGAAGCCGGUGGCCUAACCGCAAGGAGGGAGCCGUCGAAGUGGGACCCGUGAUUGGGGUGAAGUCGUACAAGGU